AGGCCUGAGAUUUUUGUCCUUGCUGGAAUUUUUGGAGGAUUUUAGCUGCGGAUCUAGAUCCAUUAGAAGGUGGUGACAUCCAUUUGGUCGGUUAUGACUAACCCUUAGAAGAAUAGCAUAGCGCAGCACAGCACAACAGAAACUAUCAGAAUGCAUCAAAUGUCACAAAGGCUCUCCUACCAGGAUGACAAAAAUCGGCAACUGAUGCUCCCAGAGGAGGACAAGAGGGACAUCCGGCAAUCUCCAAAGAGGGGUUUCCUCCGCUCUGCCUCACUAGGUCAAAGAGCCUCCUUCCACCUGGAAUGUCUGAAGUGACAGAAGGACCGAGGGGGAGACAUCUCUCAGAAGACAGUCCUGCCCUUGCAUCUGGUUCAUCAUCAGUUCAUGGAGGGACGUGUUCAGCUCACUCACCUACAGUGACCAGUGUGGUGGAGCCGCUGACAUCUCAAAGAUCUAUUUGGGAAGAUCUCACUCUGACGCCCAGGCUGGAGUGCUGUGGUGUGAUCUCACUCACUACAACCUCUGCCUCCAGGGUUUGAGUAAUUCUCCCAUCUCAACCUCCCGAGUAGCUGGGACUACAGGCAUGCUCCACCAUGCCUGGCUAAUUUUUUUAUUAUUUUUUUUAUUAUACUUUAAGUUCUGGAAUACAUGUGCAGAACGUGCAGGUUUGUUACAAAGGUAUACACAUGCCAUGGUGGUUUGCUGCACCCAUUAACCUGUCAUCUACAUUAGGUAUUUCUCAUAAUGGUAUCCCUUCUUUAGCUCCCCCACCCCCAGACUGGCCCGGUGUGUGAUGUUCCUCUCCCCGUGUCCAUGUGUUCUCAUUGUUCAACUCCCGCUUGUGAGUGAGAACAUGCGGUGUUUGGUUUUUUGUUCCUGUGUUAGUUUGCUGAAAAUGAUGGCUUCCAGCUUCAUCCAUGUCCCUGCAAAGGACAUUAACUCAUCCUUUUUUAUGGCUACAUAGUAUUUUAAAGUGUACAUGUGCCACAUUGUCUUUAUCCAGUCUAUCAUACAUGGGCAUUUGGGUUGGUUCCAAGUCUUUGCUAUUGUGAAUAGUGCUGCAAUAAACAUACGUGUGCAUGUGUCUUUAAAGUA
Molecule: long non-coding RNA, 1095 nt
Organism: Homo sapiens (human)
Lineage: Eukaryota; Metazoa; Chordata; Mammalia; Primates; Hominidae
Product: long intergenic non-protein coding RNA 2371
Source: Ensembl